Molecule: ribosomal RNA, 253 nt
Filed under: uncultured bacterium
Lineage: Bacteria
Description: partial 16S ribosomal RNA
Rfam family: Bacterial small subunit ribosomal RNA
Source: RNAcentral
UACGGAGGGGGCUAGCGUUGUUCGGAAUUACUGGGCGUAAAGCGCACGUAGGCGGACCAGUUAGUUGGGGGUGAAAUCCCGGGGCUCAACCCCGGAACUGCCUCCAAAACUGCUGGUCUGGAGGUCGAGAGAGGUGAGUGGAAUUCCGAGUGUAGAGGUGAAAUUCGUAGAUAUUCGCAAGAACACCAGUGGCGAAGGCGGCUCACUGGCCCGAUACUGAUGCUGAGGCAUGAAAGCGUGGGGAGCAAACAGG